RNAcentral lists this ribosomal RNA (465 nucleotides) under uncultured bacterium. Its description in RNAcentral is "partial 16S ribosomal RNA". It matches the Rfam family "Bacterial small subunit ribosomal RNA", at positions 28 to 507 of the family's 1533-position model. The record is from RNAcentral.
GACGAACGCUGGCGGCGUGCUUAACACAUGCAAGUCGAGCGGUAAGGCCCCUUCGGGGGUACACGAGCGGCGAACGGGUGCGUAACACGUGAGCAAUCUGCCCAUCACAUCGGGAUAACUCCGGGAAACCGAAGCUAAUACCGAAUACGACCACCUCCGGCAUCGGAUGGUGGUGGAAAGUUCCGGCGGUGAUGGAUGAGCUCGCGGCCUAUCAGCUUGUUGGUGGGGUAACGGCCCACCAAGGCUUCGACGGGUAGCCGGCCUGAGAGGGUGACCGGCCACACUGGGACUGAGACACGGCCCAGACUCCUACGGGAGGCAGCAGUGGGGAAUAUUGGACAAUGGGCGAAAGCCUGAUCCAGCAACGCCGCGUGAGGGAUGACGGCCUUCGGGUUGUAAACCUCUUUCAGCAGGGACGAAGCGAAAGUGACGGUACCUGCAGAAGAAGCACCGGCCAACUACGUG